UAAUUUUUAUAAAUGAAAUGAAGUUUUUUCCCAAUUUUUGUAGUUAUUUAAAUAUUUAAAUAAAAGAAAAUGCUUAGGGCACGCCUUAGGGCGUCCCUUAGGGCGCCCCACUGCAGGUGGAAGGAUAGAAGGAUAAAAAGGAUGACGUGACUGUCCAUAGGGCGCGCCUAAGGGCGCCCCAUUGCUAAUGCUCUGAAAUAAAGGAGUAAAAUCUUUUGACAUAGAUUUUCUGGCGAAGAAGGUGACGGUGACCGGAAAUGUGAUGGCGUCGGAUGUUCUUGCGAGCAUAUCUAAGGUCAAGAAUGCGCAAUUACGGCCUCCUUAGAUUGCGUCUUCCAAUCCAACGUCGGAAUUAAUCAAGAGCGAUGAUAGCAACAUAGAUGCUCCAUAAAUAUAAUUUCAAGCAGUUUUAUAUACAUGUAGUAGCUUCAAACUGGUCUUUUAUCUUCGUAUUUCACUGCCCGAAACCACAUGUCAAACAAAAUAUAUACGGCGAGAUAAAUGUACAUCAGACCAUCCGCAAUGUUGUCUCUUAUCAAGUCUCUUAACCGUCUCAUCUCUUAA
Molecule: long non-coding RNA, 564 nt
Organism: Salvia splendens (bonfire salvia)
Lineage: Eukaryota; Viridiplantae; Streptophyta; Magnoliopsida; Lamiales; Lamiaceae
Exons: 2
Source: RefSeq, a predicted model, not a curated record